Molecule: ribosomal RNA, 497 nt
Filed under: uncultured bacterium
Lineage: Bacteria
Description: partial 16S ribosomal RNA
Rfam family: Bacterial small subunit ribosomal RNA
Source: RNAcentral
GACGAACGCUGGCGGCGUGCCUAAUACAUGCAAGUUGAGCGCUGAAGGUUGGUACUUGUACCAACUGGAUGAGCAGCGAACGGGUGAGUAACGCGUGGGGAAUCUGCCUUUGAGCGGGGGACAACAUUUGGAAACGAAUGCUAAUACCGCAUAAAAACUUUAAACACAAGUUUUAAGUUUGAAAGAUGCAAUUGCAUCACUCAAAGAUGAUCCCGCGUUGUAUUAGCUAGUUGGUGAGGUAAAGGCUCACCAAGGCGAUGAUACAUAGCCGACCUGAGAGGGUGAUCGGCCACAUUGGGACUGAGACACGGCCCAAACUCCUACGGGAGGCAGCAGUAGGGAAUCUUCGGCAAUGGACGAAGGUCUGACCGAGCAACGCCGCGUGAGUGAAGAAGGUUUUCGGAUCGUAAAACUCUGUUGGUAGAGAAGAACGUUGGUGAGAGUGGAAAGCUCAUCAAGUGACGGUAACUACCCAGAAAGGGACGGCUAACUACGUG